UACGGAGGGUGCAAGCGUUGUUCGGAAUCACUGGGCGUAAAGGGCGCGUAGGCGGCCGAUCAAGUCGGGGGUGAAAGCCUGUGGCUCAACCACAGAAUUGCCUUCGAUACUGUUUGGCUUGAGACCGGAAGAGGUUAGUGGAACUGCGAGUGUAGAGGUGAAAUUCGUAGAUAUUCGCAAGAACACCAGUGGCGAAGGCGGCUGACUGGUCCGGUUCUGACGCUGAGGCGCGAAAGCGUGGGGGAGCAAACAGG
RNAcentral lists this ribosomal RNA (254 nucleotides) under uncultured bacterium. Its description in RNAcentral is "partial 16S ribosomal RNA". It matches the Rfam family "Bacterial small subunit ribosomal RNA", at positions 524 to 776 of the family's 1533-position model. The record is from RNAcentral.